Molecule: ribosomal RNA, 274 nt
Filed under: uncultured bacterium
Lineage: Bacteria
Description: partial 16S ribosomal RNA
Rfam family: Bacterial small subunit ribosomal RNA
Source: RNAcentral
AUACGGAGGGUGCAAGCGUUAAUCGGAAUUACUUGGCGUAAAGCGUACGUAGGCGGUUCGUUAAUUUAGAUGUGAAAGCCCCGGGCUUAACCUGGGAACUGCAUUUAAAACUGGCGAACUAGAGUUGAGUAGAGGGGAGUGGAAUUUCAGGUGUAGCGGUGAAAUGCGUAGAGAUCUGAAGGAACACCAGUGGCGAAGGCGGCUCCCUGGACUCAAACUGACGCUGAGGUACGAAAGCGUGGGUAGCAAACGGGAUUAGAAACCCUGGUAGUCC